UGUCCGGAUUUAUUGGGCGUAAAGAGCGUGUAGGCGGUUCGGUAAGUCUGUCGUGAAAUCCUGAGGCUCAACCUCGGGCGUGCGAUGGAUACUGCCGGGCUAGAGGAUGGUAGAGGCGAGUGGAAUUCCCGGUGUAGCGGUGAAAUGCGCAGAUAUCGGGAGGAGCACCAGUAGCGAAGGCGGCUCGCUGGGCCAUUCCUGACGCUGAGACGCGAAAGCUAGGGGAGCGAACAGG
Molecule: ribosomal RNA, 235 nt
Filed under: uncultured bacterium
Lineage: Bacteria
Description: partial 16S ribosomal RNA
Rfam family: Bacterial small subunit ribosomal RNA
Source: RNAcentral